AACGAACGCUGGCGGCAGGCCUAACACAUGCAAGUCGAGCGGGGGAGCAAUCCCUAGCGGCGGACGGGUUAGUAACGCGUGGGAACAUACCCUUUGGUACGGAAUAGCCUCGGGAAACUGAGAGUAAUACCGUAUGUGCCCUUCGGGGAAGAUUUAUCGCCAAAGGAUUGGCCCGCGUUGGAUUAGGUAGUUGGUGGGGUAAUGGCCUACCAAGCCUACGAUCCAUAGCUGGUUUGAGAGGAUGAUCAGCAACACUGGGACUGAGACACGGCCCAGACUCCUACGGGAGGCAGCAGUGGGGAAUCUUAGACAAUGGGCGCAAGCCUGAUCUAGCCAUGCCGCGUGAGCGAUGAAGGCCUUAGGUUGUAAAGCUCUUUCAGAUGGGAAGAUAAUGACGGUACCAUCAGAAGAAGCCCCGGCUAACUCCGUGCCAGCAGCCGCGGUAAU
RNAcentral lists this ribosomal RNA (447 nucleotides) under uncultured bacterium. RNAcentral describes it as "bacterial SSU rRNA". It matches the Rfam family "Bacterial small subunit ribosomal RNA", at positions 29 to 524 of the family's 1533-position model. The record is from RNAcentral.